AAGAUCACCGUUAAGACUUUAACACAUUUCCAUUUAGCCUUUUCCCUUCUACACAUUAAACCUUUUUUUUUUUUUUUUUUCAAUUUUUGAGACAGGAUCUCACUCUGUUGCCCAGGCUGGAGUACAGUGGUAUGAUCAUGGCAUACUGCAGCCUUGACCUCCUGGGCUCCAGUGAUCCUCCAGCCUCAGCCUCCCUAGUAGCUAGAAUAGUAGGCAUGCAUCAUGACCACCUGGCUAAUUUUUAAAUUUUUUGUAGAGACAGGGUCUCACCAUGGUGCCCAGGCUGGUCUUGAACUCCUGGCCUUCAGUGAUACUCCUGCCUUGGCCUCCCACAGUGCUGGAAUUACAGGCACAAGUCACUAUGCCCAGCCACAUUAAACAUUUUCAUCAUACUGUAUGUACAAAGCUUUAUCUUUUUUUAUGCCACUAAACGUUGUUCAGUUAUGACCAUUUCCCUAAUGUGACUAUUCUUAAUAAACAUGAUUUUAAUGGGUGCAUGGUAUUGCAUAUUCUGAAUAUGCCAUAAUAUAUACUGGUCUCCUCUAAAAAUAAGCGUUCAGGUCAUUUCCUUGUUUCAGUUAGAAACCUGUGAUGAACACUUUAUAUAUCAUGCCCCUCUGCAGUGCAGAUACUUUUGGAAGAAUCCCCUUAUAUUCUGUAAUGCUCAGCUUCAUCAUCUUUGAAUUAAUUAAAAGGCGCCUAUCAAUCUUUCUUGAAUGCUGUGUUUGAAGGAAUAAUGAGCCAGAGUUUGUGAAGGUGCUUUGAAGUAGCUGGAUGAAAGGGACUGUGUAAAUCAUAACAGUAGUAGCCCUGCCAGACUGCUCUCACCACACUUGUCUCUUACACUCCAAUACAGGGGCACCGCCACCCAUUCCCAUGCACCCCCACCACUGCUCAGCAAUUUUGCAUGUUGCUUCCAAAGGGGUUGCUCACCCCUGUAUCCAAACAUCACCACCACAGAUAUUCAGUGUCCUGCCCCACACUGCCAGCACUCCCCACCGAGCACACAGCUGGAAGGAAACUUCAAGAUAAUUUGGUCCAACAUCCCAUUUUUUGAAGGUCAGGAAACUAACAUCCAGAAAGGUUAAAUGAGUUUGCCUGGAAUUUCUUUUAAGGAGAUGCAUUUCCUAAGGGUCAUCAUAUUUCUAAAUCAGUAAGAGUGCUAAGUAAUAUGUUUUGUUAAAUCUGCAUGUUUUUAAAGAAACGAAUACAAGAGAAUAAUAACGUUUCCUUUUGGAAGGGAAGAUCUGCCUGCAUGGCCAGUAACCCAGAGCCCAAGCCAGAUAAAAAUAAUGAUUAACGAACGGAUAAACAGGCUCAUAUGCUUCAUACGUGAUAAAUUAAGGGUCUCAUACUGGCCAGAGAAUCAUGUUAUCUAAGUAAUUUUGAGAAGACAGCCCAUGACCUUAAUAAUUUGCCACUUGUUAUGGCAAAGUUAUUUUGAAAGUUUUCUAGGUAACUGAAGGUCCAGUGUAUGUGCCAGGCAUUUAGUAUAAUCUUAUCUUUCCCCAAAUGUGGACAAAAGUGGUUUUUUUCAGUCACAUAUACCACCGCAUUGAGAACUGGACAUUUGAUAAUCAUCAGCGAUUUUCCCUCCAGGGCCUCCUCAGAUGGCUUUUCUUGAUUACAAACUAUUUUGGAAACUCCAAAUUCUUUCCACUGAUUUAGCAACGAAUCCUCAACUUAUUUUUAAACUGCUGUAAUUGAGCAGCUCUGGGGGUUAACUUGUGGAGUCUGGUCACUUUUAGAUCAAAUUAUCAACCAAACACUCUGCUCUUACCAUCUUGGGACCAUCUUCUAUUUCUUUUGCUGAGAAUAGGUUAACCAAGGGACCUUGAAAUCAUUCAAAGCCACAAUACAAAAACAUCACUUUGGCUUCUCCCAAGUUUAUCCUACUCUUCAUCUGGUGCAAGGAAACGAACAGAAAAACCGGACCCUGUUAAUUAUUCCCAAGAUGACAUCAAUGUGCUCUUCCAUGGCCUUCUACAGCUUGGAGCUGAGCUCAAGGAGCAAGGAGUUAUAGCAGAAAGCACACUGGCCACCUGUUUAAGCGACUGGACCCUUUGAACACCUCUUUAGCUGAGCUUCUAGGUCAGCCAGCAGGAGAGAAGGAAAGAGGGCUUUGAGAGGAGAGAGGAGCAGCUCGACAAGAGGAGUGAAGGCCCCUAUCAGCUGGCUGCUGAGCUCCAGUGUCAACUGGUUGCAGGGAUGACCUACAGGGAGGGAUUUAAUGAGGAGCUGAAGUUGCUGGAGCAAAGUUGGAAGAUGCUGCACCCUUUAAGGCAAGUGGGCUUCCAGUGACAAAGGUGAUGGAUGAUGUCAUGACAGAGCCAAAAAAUUGAUGAAGUGGAAAUGCAGCAAAGCCAACUGCAUGAACAAAGAUGCUGUCAUUCAAAAACUACAGGAAAAGGCACUGUUACAAGCAUCUAUGACAGGUACUACUAUUAGCCUCAUUCAGAAGAUGAUAAAACUGAGGUGUGAAGAGAAUGCAUUAACUUGUACCAGGUUAGAUAAAAGUGCAAAUUCACAAAGGAACCAGUGAAAAAGGAAAACAGAAGGAAAACUCCUGAUGUGUAGGUUGAAGAGAACAUUCUGUCUUCAGAAAUCAGAGCAAGAAAAAUGGAAGGUAAAACAUGUUCCAGGGCACCAGUCAGAGCCCCACAAGGCUGUCUGCCCUGGGAAAUGGCGCAAGAUUAGAAGGAGGCACUGGGGGUGUUAUCGCAAGCAGCAGCUUGCCCCUUAGUAACCCCUGUCCUCCACAGGCCAGGCUGCAAUAUUUCACAUAAACGCUGGUACUGUACUCUGAACAUCAGGGACCUCUACACCCCUCACAAACAGCAAAUGCAGUUAAGACGCCAGAAAAAAAAAAUGGUAUCAAAUUGUUUAAAAACUCUACAAUAAAUGGUCCAAUAUUC
Homo sapiens (human) is the source of this 2915-nucleotide long non-coding RNA. RefSeq lists it as uncharacterized. The transcript has 4 exons. NCBI's taxonomy places the organism in Eukaryota, Metazoa, Chordata, Mammalia, Primates, Hominidae. The record is from RefSeq and is a predicted model, not a curated record.